AAGAAAUGUAAGGACAAGUGCUACAACUAUGGGAUGAAAUGCAAGUGGAACGAAUAGAAGGAAAGGAACAAACGAAACCACGGAAAAUAACAUCUAAUGAUGAGUUCAGUCUAGGUCAACAUAA
Bradysia coprophila is the source of this 124-nucleotide long non-coding RNA. Lineage: Eukaryota; Metazoa; Arthropoda; Insecta; Diptera; Sciaridae. The record is from RefSeq and is a predicted model, not a curated record.